UACGGAGGAUCCAAGCGUUAUCCCGAAUCAUUGGGUUUAAAGGGUCCGUAGGCGGGAUAAUAAGUCAGUGGUGAAAGUCUGCAGCUCAACUGUAGAAUUGCCAUUGAUACUGAUUGUCUUGAGUUAUUAUGAAGUGGUUAGAAUGAGUAGUGUAGCGGUGAAAUGCAUAGAUAUUACUCAGAAUACCGAUUGCGAAGGCAGAUCACUAAUAAAAUACUGACGCAGAUGGACGAAAGCGUAGGUAGCGAACAGG
This 253-nucleotide unclassified non-coding RNA is filed under the name uncultured Flavobacteriaceae bacterium. RNAcentral's name for it is "contains 16S-23S intergenic spacer region". It matches the Rfam family "Bacterial small subunit ribosomal RNA", at positions 524 to 776 of the family's 1533-position model. The record is from RNAcentral. Lineage: Bacteria; Pseudomonadati; Bacteroidota; Flavobacteriia; Flavobacteriales; Flavobacteriaceae.